This 253-nucleotide ribosomal RNA is filed under the name uncultured bacterium. Its description in RNAcentral is "partial 16S ribosomal RNA". It matches the Rfam family "Bacterial small subunit ribosomal RNA", at positions 524 to 776 of the family's 1533-position model. The record is from RNAcentral.
UACAGAGGGUGCAAGCGUUGUUCGGAAUUAUUGGGCGUAAAGCGCGUGUAGGCGGCUUUGCAAGUCGGGUGUGAAAGCCCUCAGCUCAACUGAGGAGGUGCGCCCGAAACUGCAGAGCUUGAGUACCGGAGAGGAUGGCGGAAUUCCCCAAGUAGAGGUGAAAUUCGUAGAUAUGGGGAGGAACACCGGUGGCGAAGGCGGCCAUCUGGACGGAUACUGACGCUGAGACGCGAAAGCGUGGGGAGCAAACAGG